RNAcentral lists this RNase P RNA (391 nucleotides) under Bryobacterales bacterium. RNAcentral's name for it is "RNase P RNA component class A". It matches the Rfam family "Bacterial RNase P class A". From Rfam's summary of the family: Ribonuclease P (RNase P) is a ubiquitous endoribonuclease, found in archaea, bacteria and eukarya as well as chloroplasts and mitochondria. Its best characterised activity is the generation of mature 5'-ends of tRNAs by cleaving the 5'-leader elements of precursor-tRNAs. Cellular RNase Ps are ribonucleoproteins. Lineage: Bacteria; Pseudomonadati; Acidobacteriota; Terriglobia; Bryobacterales. The record is from RNAcentral.
CUGGCGGAACGGGCAAUCGCUGGCCGGUUCAGGAAUGAACCGGCUGGAGGAAAGUCCGGUCUCCAAAGAGCAGUGUGCCGGCUAACGGCCGGGGGGGCUCGUUCAAAACGGGUUUCACGGAAAGUGCCACAGAGAAUAUACCGCCAAGGCGCCCGCAAGGGUUGUCGGGGUAAGGGUGAAAAGGUGCGGUAAGAGCGCACCGUGCCGGCAGCAAUGCGGGCUGCAAGGCAAACCCCACACGGAGCAAGACCAAAUAGGGGUGAAGGGGCGGCUCGUCCUGUUCGACACCCGGGUAGGUUGCUAGAGCUUGUCAGUAAUGACUUGCCCAGAGGAAUGAUUGCCAUCUUUCUUCGGAAAGAUACAGAAACCGGCUUACAGUUCCGCCAGUGCU